GAGUUUGAUCGUGGCUCAGAAUGAACGCUGGCGGCAUGCCUAACACAUGCAAGUCGAACGAGUACCUUCGGGUGCUAGUGGCGCACGGGUGCGUAACGCGUGGGAAUCUGCCCUUAGGUUCGGAAUAACAGCGAGAAAUUGCUGCUAAUACCGGAUGAUGGCUUCGGCCCAAAGAUUUAUCGCCUAGGGAUGAGCCCGCGUAAGAUUAGGUAGUUGGUGUGGUAAAGGCGCACCAAGCCGACGAUCUUUAGCUGGUCUGAGAGGAUGAUCAGCCACACUGGGACUGAGACACGGCCCAGACUCCUACGGGAGGCAGCAGUGGGGGAAUAUUGGACAAUGGGCGCAAGCCUGAUCCAGCAAUGCCGCGUGAGUGAUGAAGGCCUUAGGGUUGUAAAGCUCUUUUACCCGGGAUGAUAAUGACAGUACCGGGAGAAUAAGCUCCGGCUAACUCCGUGCCAGCCGCCGCGGUAAG
This 472-nucleotide ribosomal RNA is filed under the name uncultured bacterium. RNAcentral's name for it is "bacterial SSU rRNA". It matches the Rfam family "Bacterial small subunit ribosomal RNA", at positions 9 to 524 of the family's 1533-position model. The record is from RNAcentral.